This is a long non-coding RNA of Bos taurus (domestic cattle), 2708 nucleotides long. NCBI's taxonomy places the organism in Eukaryota, Metazoa, Chordata, Mammalia, Artiodactyla, Bovidae. The record is from Ensembl.
GUCGGACGCGCCCGCAGCGGGCGAAGAGAGCGAAGUGGACAAGGCCGCCAUGUUAGGGGUGCUGGAAAGAUUCCGCGGAGCCCGCUGAGGUUUUAGGGAACUCGGGAGCCGAGUGGUGGUGCAGAGGGGACAGUGAGGAGGAGGAUAAGUCGGUUGGUGUCGGACCCUCAUUGGUCUUUCAUGCAGAAAUGGUUUGCAAAAGGUUCGAAAGACAUCGAUGUUGAAAGAAUCUGUCUUCACUAUGAAAAGAUGAGAAAUUUUCUUUCUUCCUGAGGGUGUCGGAAGGUCUUAAAAGGCUGAUAUAUUAGUGCUGUUUUUCUCCUUUCCUUUUGCAUAUUAUCCUGAAAACAUAACAUCACUUUGGGUCAGUAGGGGUAUGCACUUCACUUGUUAGGAGUUAAAAUUAUAGCUGAUAAGUGGAUUACUGUAUCAAGGAAAGACUAGGCAGAGUGAUUAUAAAUGACAAAAACAUGGUCAAAACAUUUCUCAGAUGUAUGCAGAUGAUAAUUACAGAAAUAGUUUUAUAAAGAAUGAUCUUACAUAUUGUCAUGUUUCUAGGAACAAGUCAGAUGAAUGGCUUUCAUUUUUAAACAGAGGUAGUAUGUGUUGGUCUCAGUUAUGCAUGGAGCUUAUGGAAUUAUUUGUUACUCAGAAAUACCUUCUUUACAAGUAAUGUUGGUAAGUAUAGGAAAAGGAACAAAAUGUGUACUGUUUUCUUUGUGAUCUGUGUUUCUUCGUAUAACUAUAGACAUGUUUUAACCUUAAGAGAGACAAAAUAGACUGAACAGAUUUACAUUUAGGCUUUCUUUCAAACUCAUACAAAUUAUUUUUAGGGGUUGGUGAUUCAUGGGUGUUGUUGUGUCUCAUAUGAACUUAUCUUGUUCAUUUUGUAAGAGACUCCUUUAUAUAAGCAAUAACCUCCUCAAUUUGAGUUACUAUAAAAAAAAAAUUUGUUGGGGGCGGGGGAACCCAGCAGAUUUCUCAAAAACAUUGUAUGAGAGAAAUGAGACCUGUAUAAUAUAGUGAUUUCUGUAAUUUGCCAUGUGUUUGGGUAGUUAGAAAUUUUUUUCAGACUUUUAUCUAAUGGGCAUCAAGCCAUAAAGAAAUGAAAUCUAGUUACUGUCUCAAAAAACAACUCCCUGACCCUUAACUUUUAGGAAAAAAAUUACGUACUCUAUGUGGAUAUUUUGUUUAAAAAAUUAGUAUUACAGGAGUCGAUGAUGCCAGCUUCUGGAAGAAUAACCUCAGUGUUCCAGAAGGAAAACUGUGUAGGGGAUGUCCUGGUGAUCCUGUAGUUAAGACUCCACCUGCCAGGCAGCAGGUGCAGGUUGACCAGGCAGCUCAGUGGUGGAGUCCACCUGCCAAUACAGGAGAUGUGGGUUUGAUCCCUGUGUCUGCAAGAUCCCUGGAGAAGGAAAUGGCAGCCCAUUCCAGUAUUGUUGCCUGGAAAAUCCCACGGACAGCGGAGCCUGGGGGGCUGUAAUCCAUGGGGUCUUAAAGAGUCAGACACAACUGAGCAGCAGCGGCAGGGAACUAAGACCCCACACACUGUGGGGUGUGGCCGAAGUGAAGAAAACUGCGAAGUGCAGUUAGGAAUGCCUUACGUAGGUAAACCUCCUUUCUUUUUAUCUCAAAACAGAAUUGGGACAUUGAUUUGUAUUAUACAUAGCUCAUUAAAGAGUAUUGAGUUGUUAGGCCAAGGGUUUUCUCAAUAGGGUCAAGUGUCUGGAUCACCUGUGGAACUCUAGAUAUGUGAAGCUAUUUCCUACCCAUUCACCCAGCUGAAUAAUUUUUGUUCAGGGUUGUCACCAGCUGUUGUAUAUCUUUAAAACACUGUAGGUGAGUUUACAGCGGUAGGGUAGAGCAGCCUUCUACAUCCCAGAUUUGUAGCUUUUUGUGGUGUGUGACAUGAGUAAUAAAGUUUUGGCCAAGAUUUUAGGUUUAUUAAUAUAUUCAUAAAUGAAUUUUCAAGACGUGUAAAUGACCUAAGGAUUAAUUUAUGUAGAGGAGGGGCAUUAAUUUUACCUUAAGAAUACCAUAAUAUCCUGACUUGAAUAUUUCUUUGAGUGAAAUUUUGCUUGUGUACUUGUAUAGUUUGAAAAGCCCUCAAUUGGUUAUGAAAAUUAGGCCCUGUCUUCAUUGAGAAUCAGUGUAGUUAAUUCUCUAAAAGGUGAUGUCCCAAAUUAUAAAAAAUGUUAGACUUGUUUCAUGCCUGCAGAGAUCUAAAAUAAUGCUUUUAUAUUUCAAGCUAUGAAAUUUGAGAGAGCAAGUAUCAGUUAUAUUGUCUGCCUUUCUUUAUCGCUUCCAAAAUAAAAUCAAUUUUCUUAACCGUUCUCAGAAAUGAAAUGCCAGCAAUCCAAAGGUGAUGUAAACCCCAACAGUUACAGUAAGAGUUAUUUUAAGUUGGUCACAGAAUUAAGACAUGAAAACUUAAGGGGGAAAAUGAAAAGCAUUUUACCAAAAUUAUCAUAUUGGAUAGCCUUAUAUUGAGUUAAAUGUUUUCUACACCAUUUAUUUUUAAAGUGGACACAGAUGAGCAUGUUAUACAGGGUUCAGCAUUUGGAGUUUCUCAGGAAACUCAGAUUUUUAACUUAUUCUGGAAACAAAUAUUUCAUAUUUACACAUUUUACUUUAACAGCAUUCAGAAAACUAAAGCAUAUGUUUUCUAGUCUUGUUUAGUUGACCCACUGUUGUUUUUGUAACAGAUU